Molecule: long non-coding RNA, 2715 nt
Organism: Neogale vison (American mink)
Lineage: Eukaryota; Metazoa; Chordata; Mammalia; Carnivora; Mustelidae
Exons: 3
Source: RefSeq, a predicted model, not a curated record
GGCAGGGAACACACCUGCAUGUGGGGUGAGAUUUGUAUUGGCAGAGAUGGCUUUGGCAGAGAUGUCUUUUUCCAGGUAUCCUAAUUUUUGCCUUGUGCAACAGGCAAACAUUUUCUAGGUUUUGUCAAGAAGUUGACAUCCUGCUACUGCUCUACCUGAAUUUAUAAACUGAAGUAUAUCAAUUUUUGAACUUCUAUUAAGGAAAAUUUCCAGUAGAAGUAGUACAAUACCCGUAUCUCAGCUCCAAAAGUGAUCAGUUCGUGGUCAGCCUACCUUGUUCAUACCUACCAAUUCACCAUUCUACUUUGCACGCUUAUUUGGAAGAAAAUCCCAGACAACUGAUUUCAUCCCCAACUAUUUCAGUCUAAAAGGGUUCUAGGUUCCUGGAGCUCAAAACGGGGACCAGAGACCUGUAAACAACAGCCAAGGAGUAGCAAACUGGAAAAGGAAGGCCUUCAGAAAUUAGAAGAAAUGCAAUUUACUGACCAAGCCUCCCUCUGCAACAGAAAAAAGAACCUUCCCUCUUAUCUGGGUUCAGAACUGGCAAGCAACAUCGGUGUGGGCACUUCAUAAACAUUCACUGACCAAAACGUCGACAGUGCAAAGCAACCAUUCUGUUAUUUCAAGAACCCUUCUGAAAUGCCAGUGAUUGAAGCAGGAUCUUGACUAUCCUUUGCAAAUCUUGAAGAAGAAAAGCCCCAUUCAGCUGGCCACAUGGAAUAAAACAAGCACAGUGGAUUAACCUCUCCUGGAGCUGGGACAUAUUCUCAAAGAGCAGAGCAAACCGAAGCAGUGGGUAGGAUUUUUAAGUGACUACUCCCAAAACAUCCCAAGCAAUGGGGAUUCAGUGCCUCCACCUUGUAGGGAAAAAAACCACCUUACUUCACUUUGCACGGACAUGCAGGCUGUGCCUAUGAACAGAAAUGGCUGAAGCUGGCAUGGCGGGUGGGCGGGCUGGAGGGGGCAGUUGGUUUUAGUCAACAUAAACCAACCCGAUCGUGAUGUAUCAGUCGAGCUGAAAGACAUUCAGGGAGAACAUGGUGAAACCAAUGGGUUGUUACGUUGCCGGGUCAAGGUCUGCUUGUUUUGGCCCGGGUACACCUGGCCUUGGCCAGUGUGAUCUCGAUAAACAGAAAGGAAUCCACCUCCAUAACCGCAGCCCAGACAGCCUGUGUUGGUGAAGCCGGGGUCUGGCUGAAUUGGACUAGGAUGGCUUGGAGACCUUCCAUCAGAGAGCUGGGCUCUGUCUGCCCCUACAGGACCUCUUCUGCUGGUUCCUUAUAAGAAGUACUCUUCCUGUGUCAGUGGUUGGCUGACACAGGCCGGAGCAGGGGUGGGGCAGCCGCAACUUGGGUGUGGGCGUGAGCUGUCUUCAGCCUGGAACAGGACAGCUCUAUUUCCUUACACCAGCUUCCUAUCCCCGGCACCAUGCUGCCCCGCCCGCCAUGAGUAGCCUCACAUUUUUCUCAGCCACAGAGGGGUGGUGGGGCGAGUGCCUCCUUCCUGUCCCCAGUCCUCCGUGCUGGAUCCAGUUUCACAACACACACACACACACACACUCAACACACUCACACACUCCUCCAUGAGGAUGGCUGACAGCUGAAGCCCACAUCAGGGCAUCAACCCCCUAGUCAGCCUGGUGGUGCCUGCACAGCCAGGGAGUCCCCAGGAAAACUACUUCACUUGACACAGCUUUAGCCCCCUGACCUUGGCCUCACAUAUAGGCCUCUACUUCUAGUGCCCACCCCUCCCACCUGCCCCUACUACCACCUCUGACCUUAUCCAAAUCUGCCCUUCCAUUUGUCCCUCAGAUACUGCUUGACUGUGUAUAUGUGCAAGACAGACCCCUCCUGGGAGAGGUAGGCUGUGGAGCUCUCCUCUCAAACCCAAAGACCGGGGAAGGAAAAGAGCAUGAACUGAGUCUUUGCUUUGUGCCAGGAGCUUUAGAAGCAUGAUCUUUAUUAAUCUGGCCCUGCUACCUUAGAGGAAGGCCCCAUUAUUACCAGAAGAGCUGGCGCCAUGUGGAGGUCAAGAGCAGGGAUGCUGCUGCCUGCAUUUCAAGUCCGGGUUUGUAACCUUGGGAAGGUGAUUUGACCUACAGGCCACGUCACCAGGAAAACGAGAAUCAGGUUACUGUGAGCAUUAAAUGAGUUAAUUCAUGUAAAAAGUGCUAAGAGCAACCCUACAGAAGUGUGAGUCACUGUUACAUAAUAUCAGCUACUGUGUGUUCAAGAUGAGAAAAGGGAGGCCACACAAGCACGGGUAGAGCCUAGGUUCUGGUGGGCUCCAUACCAGGGCCCUCCCUGCAUUACAUGCUGCUUUGCUUUGAUACUAGUGUGUCACCCCCUUUCAGGGAGAGUUCCCUUUGGCCAACACCCGGAGCCUUAAAAGUGAGUGUGGAAGAGAAACUGGAGAACAGGAGCCACAGAGUCUCGUCUGGGCUCCAGAAGUUGCGUCCCGGAGAGCUGAGGAUUACCAGUGACCAGCAGUGCUCCUGUCCCCAUCUCUGGGCAGGAAGGUCCUGUUGGUUGUGGUUCUGGAGAGAGCUGGCCCUGUCACCUGCUCCUUCCUCUCCUCAGAAGCAGGCUGAGACCCCAGGAUUCCAUCCCUCCUCCUCAUCCCUGCCCUCACCCCCAUCCUAGAAACAGCGUUGUUUUUCCUCAAAAUAUGUCAGAUGUUCAAUUUAAACCUAACCCCACCUGCUCCAAAGCACAU